UCAGAGCCCGUUAAUGGGUGAUGGCGUGCCUUUUGUAGAAUGAACCGGCGAGUUACGAUUUGAUGCAAGGUUAAGCAGUAAAUGUGGAGCCGUAGCGAAAGCGAGUCUGAAUAGGGCGUUUAGUAUUUGGUCGUAGACCCGAAACCAGGUGAUCUACCCUUGGUCAGGUUGAAGUUCAGGUAACACUGAAUGGAGGACCGAACCGACUUACGUUGAAAAGUGAGCGGAUGAACUGAGGGUAGCGGAGAAAUUCCAAUCGAACCUGGAGAUAGCUGGUUCUCUCCGAAAUAGCUUUAGGGCUAGCCUCAAGUGAUGAUUAUUGGAGGUAGAGCACUGUUUGGACGAGGGGCCCCUCUCGGGUUACCGAAUUCAGACAAACUCCGAAUGCCAAUUAAUUUAACUUGGGAGUCAGAACAUGGGUGAUAAGGUCCGUGUUCGAAAGGGAAACAGCCCAGACCACCAGCUAAGGUCCCAAAAUAUAUGUUAAGUGGAAAAGGAUGUGGCGUUGCCCAGACAACUAGGAUGUUGGCUUAGAAGCAGCCAUCAUUUAAAGAGUGCGUAAUAGCUCACUAGUCGAGUGACACUGCGCCGAAA
RNAcentral lists this ribosomal RNA (594 nucleotides) under Staphylococcus aureus. RNAcentral describes it as "partial 23S ribosomal RNA". It matches the Rfam family "Bacterial large subunit ribosomal RNA", at positions 574 to 1169 of the family's 2925-position model. Lineage: Bacteria; Bacillati; Bacillota; Bacilli; Caryophanales; Staphylococcaceae. The record is from RNAcentral.